Molecule: ribosomal RNA, 408 nt
Filed under: uncultured bacterium
Lineage: Bacteria
Description: partial 16S ribosomal RNA
Rfam family: Bacterial small subunit ribosomal RNA
Source: RNAcentral
GACGAACGCUGGCGGCGUGCUUAACACAUGCAAGUCGAACGAAGUGGCGAACGGGUGAGUAACGCGUAAUCAACCUGCCCUUCAGAGGGGGACAACAGUUGGAAACGACUGCUAAUACCGCAUACUGAAGUAGGGGGUUGCGUCGGAUUAGCUAGUUGGAGGGGUAACGGCCCACCAAGGCGAUGAUCAGUAGCCGGGCUGGGGGGAUGGAUGGGCAAAUUGGGACUUGGACACGGCCCAGACUCCUUCGGGAGGCAGCAGGGGGGAAUCUUCCGAAAUGGAGGAAAGGCUGACGGAGCAACGGCGCGGGAGUGAUGACGGCCUUCGGGUUGUAAAGGUAUGUUAAUCGGGACGCGGUACCGGAAGAGAAAGCAACGGCUAACUACGUGCCAGCAGCCGCGGUAAUUC